RNAcentral lists this ribosomal RNA (511 nucleotides) under Loliolus japonica. Its description in RNAcentral is "Loliolus japonicus partial 16S ribosomal RNA". It matches the Rfam family "Bacterial large subunit ribosomal RNA", at positions 1816 to 2576 of the family's 2925-position model. Lineage: Eukaryota; Metazoa; Mollusca; Cephalopoda; Myopsida; Loliginidae. The record is from RNAcentral.
CUCUCUUUGUUAUUUAUGUAGAUAAAGAGUUGGGCCUGCUCGGUGAAAUUUUUUAACAGCUGCGGUAUUUUAACUGUACUAAGGUAGCAUAAUAAUUUGCCUUAUAAUUUGAGGCUAGAAUGAAUGGUUUGACGAAGGUUAAUCUGUCUCAACUUUAUUUUUUAGAAAUUAAUUUUCAUAGUGAAAAAGCUUGAAUUUUUUAAUGGGACGAGAAGACCCUAUUGAGCUUAUAAUUUUAUUGAUAUUUUUAUUAUUAUUUAUAAUUAUAUUAUAUAAAUUUUAAUUGGGGUGAUUAAGGAAUAAUUAGUUAAAAAAUAACUUCCUUAAGUGUAAUAUAUUGUUGAAUUAAGUAACCGAUUAAUUAAUAUUUUUUAUAUUAGUAUUGCUUAYAAUAUAGUUACCAUAGGGAUAACAGCGUAAUUUACUUAGAGAGCUCUUAUUGAAAAGUAAGAUUGCGACCUCGAUGUUGGAUUAAAGUAACCUUAAGGUGUAGAAGCUUUAUAAGGUAAAU